GAAGGUAUAGCUCAGUGGUAAAGUGCUUGCUUAGUAUGCCCAAAGUCCUGGAUUCAAUUCCCAGUACCUCCA
Molecule: transfer RNA, 72 nt
Filed under: Camelus bactrianus (Bactrian camel)
Lineage: Eukaryota; Metazoa; Chordata; Mammalia; Artiodactyla; Camelidae
Also listed under: 2 other names
Rfam family: tRNA
About the family: Transfer RNA (tRNA) molecules are approximately 80 nucleotides in length. Their secondary structure includes four short double-helical elements and three loops (D, anti-codon, and T loops).
Source: Rfam by way of RNAcentral